Molecule: long non-coding RNA, 205 nt
Filed under: Mytilus galloprovincialis (Mediterranean mussel)
Lineage: Eukaryota; Metazoa; Mollusca; Bivalvia; Mytilida; Mytilidae
Source: RNAcentral
CGACGAUAGAAUUGUCAAUUUAUAGAUUGAUAAAAAUUCUAUUCGAAGUGAAAAAGUGUCUUCAGAAAUAUUGUGAAACUGUUUGCUCACGAAGUGGUAUUAACCAUUUGUGGAUUCUAAAAACCUCUUAAGUCCUUCUGGGUAAUUUCAAAUCUCGAUCUUUCUCUGACAUAAAUUCUAUCUAUGUCUCAACCCUGUAUACAAC